AUUGAACGCUGGCGGCAGGCUUAACACAUGCAAGUCGAGCGGAGACUUCGGUCUUAGCGGCGAACGGGUGAGUAAUACCUAGGAAUCUGCCUAUUAGUGGGGGAUAACGAAUCGAAAGGUUCGCUAAUACCGCAUACGUCCUACGGGAGAAAGGGGGGAUCUUCGGACCUCUCGCUAAUAGAUGAGCCUAGGCCGGAUUAGCUAGUUGGUAGGGUAAAGGCCUACCAAGGCGACGAUCUGUAGCUGGUCUGAGAGGAUGGCCAGCCACACUGGAACUGAGACACGGUCCAGACUCCUACGGGAGGCAGCAGUGGGGAAUAUUGGACAAUGGGGGCAACCCUGAUCCAGCCAUGCCGCGUGUGUGAAGAAGGCCUCGGUUGUAAGACGACUUAAGUACGAGGAGGAAGGUU
RNAcentral lists this ribosomal RNA (410 nucleotides) under uncultured bacterium. RNAcentral describes it as "bacterial SSU rRNA". It matches the Rfam family "Bacterial small subunit ribosomal RNA", at positions 30 to 454 of the family's 1533-position model. The record is from RNAcentral.